CGUCCGGCCCGUCCCAACUAUUCCCCAUCCCCAAACCUACGGGAGGCGAGCAGGCGGCGGCGGCGGCUGCCUGUAGCGAUCGGAGGCGGCGACGCUUAUUGCGAGCCGAAGAGGUGCGACGCGAGCAGGCGACGACGACGCAGUGAGCUGGGAGGCAGCGACAAGCCGACGACUGCAGCAGGCGGAGGCGUCGGAGGCUCGGAGCGUCACGGUGAUGCAAAGCAGCCGGUGGCGGCUGAAGCGAGCGAAGGCGGCGUGGCCGCUUCAACGAGCAGCUGAUGGUUGGAGGUGAGCUGGUUUCUGCAUUCUUAGUCGAUCUGCACGCGGACUACUGCGAGAAAUCAAGUUUGAGUGGCCAAUUAGUUUGCCACUACUGCUACUUUCAAAAUUAUGUCACAAAAAAUCUGUCUGCUAGAGAGGAAUGAUGUUGCUCCACUGGCAUAGGAAGCACCCUAAAGCAGAUCGGAUCCCAUGUAAUCAGAGGAAUUGCGGGGUGAUAGUAAGCUCUCCCCGUGAGUUAGAGCUACACGUCCACUUCUCCCACGUCCAGCCUGCGGGUUGGUGGGUAGAGUGAUCAACUGAAAGUUCGGCAUGUUUUUGGAUUGGUUCCUUGCUAACUAUUGGAUUAGUUCCUUGCUUACUAUUCUUAUGUUAACACCGAUAUCUGUAACCCCUUAAUCAUAAUAUCAUAAUUUGAUUUGAUUGCGUACUCUAAA
This is a non-coding RNA of Oryza sativa Japonica Group (Japanese rice), 716 nucleotides long. NCBI's taxonomy places the organism in Eukaryota, Viridiplantae, Streptophyta, Magnoliopsida, Poales, Poaceae. The record is from RefSeq and is a predicted model, not a curated record.